Molecule: transfer RNA, 71 nt
Filed under: Loxodonta africana (African savanna elephant)
Lineage: Eukaryota; Metazoa; Chordata; Mammalia; Proboscidea; Elephantidae
Rfam family: tRNA
About the family: Transfer RNA (tRNA) molecules are approximately 80 nucleotides in length. Their secondary structure includes four short double-helical elements and three loops (D, anti-codon, and T loops). Further hydrogen bonds mediate the characteristic L-shaped molecular structure. tRNAs have two regions of fundamental functional importance: the anti-codon, which is responsible for specific mRNA codon recognition, and the 3' end, to which the tRNAs corresponding amino acid is attached (by aminoacyl-tRNA synthetases). tRNAs cope with the degeneracy of the genetic code in two manners: having more than one tRNA (with a specific anti-codon) for a particular amino acid; and 'wobble' base-pairing, i.e. permitting non-standard base-pairing at the 3rd anti-codon position.
Source: Rfam by way of RNAcentral
GCAGUGGUGGUGCAGUGGAAGCUUUCUUGCCUUCAAUGCAGGAGACCCAAGUUCAAUUCCUGGCCAAUGCU